RNAcentral lists this small nuclear RNA (213 nucleotides) under Suricata suricatta (meerkat). RNAcentral describes it as "U2 spliceosomal RNA (ENSSSUG00005004474.1)". The stretch from base 1 to 166 matches the Rfam family "U2 spliceosomal RNA". From Rfam's summary of the family: U2 is a small nuclear RNA (snRNA) component of the spliceosome (involved in pre-mRNA splicing). Complementary binding between U2 snRNA (in an area lying towards the 5' end but 3' to hairpin I) and the branchpoint sequence (BPS) of the intron results the bulging out of an unpaired adenosine, on the BPS, which initiates a nucleophilic attack at the intronic 5' splice site, thus starting the first of two transesterification reactions that mediate splicing. The record is from Rfam by way of RNAcentral. Lineage: Eukaryota; Metazoa; Chordata; Mammalia; Carnivora; Herpestidae.
AUUGCUUCUCAGCCUUUGGCUAAGAUCAAGUGUAGUAUCUGUUCCUAUCAGUUUAAUAGUGCUGCAGUGAACAUAGGGGUACAUGUAUCUUUUAGUGUUUUGGGGGGUUUUUUUGGAUAAAUUUCAGAAGUGGAAUUUACUGGGUCAUGUGAUAGUUCUACUUUAAUUUUUUGAGGAACCUCUAUACUGUUUUCCACAAUGGCUCUACCAGUU